CCAAUAGCGUAUAUUAAAGUUGCUGCAGUUAAAAAGCUCGUAGUUGAAUUUCGGGAUCAAUAUGUUGGUCGUGCCUUGGUACGUACUAGCUUAUUGAUUUCUCCCUUCUGACGAACCAUGAUGUCAUUAAUUUGGUGUCAUGGGGAAUUAGGACUGUUACUUUGAAAAAAUUAAAGUGUUUAAAGCAGGCUCACGCUUGAAUACAUUAGCAUGGAAUAAU
This 220-nucleotide ribosomal RNA is filed under the name uncultured Glomus. RNAcentral's name for it is "partial small subunit ribosomal RNA". It matches the Rfam family "Eukaryotic small subunit ribosomal RNA", at positions 591 to 818 of the family's 1831-position model. Lineage: Eukaryota; Fungi; Glomeromycota; Glomeromycetes; Glomerales; Glomeraceae. The record is from RNAcentral.